RNAcentral lists this non-coding RNA (113 nucleotides) under Nannospalax galili (Upper Galilee mountains blind mole rat). Lineage: Eukaryota; Metazoa; Chordata; Mammalia; Rodentia; Spalacidae. The record is from RNAcentral.
GUGUCCCAUGAAAAGAGAGGUUAGUACUCCAACUGACCAGGACAGAAAAGGCCCUUGGGCCUUACAAUACAUAUACAGUUAAGAUAACACCAGCAGUCUAACCACUGUUUGAG